Quercus robur (English oak) is the source of this 1601-nucleotide long non-coding RNA. RefSeq lists it as uncharacterized. The record is from RefSeq and is a predicted model, not a curated record. Lineage: Eukaryota; Viridiplantae; Streptophyta; Magnoliopsida; Fagales; Fagaceae. The transcript is spliced from 2 exons.
UUUGUUUAUCGAAAUUUGAGGUGUGGAAUGAAUGGCGGGAAAACAAAACCACUGAAUCUCCAGACCUUAAUAACUGUCGUUUAAAAGUUAAAACCGCAUGAUCAUCAUUCUUCAUUCAUCACUCCGAAAAAGUUAGGUGGUCGUCUGGUUUUCACAAACAACUUCCAUUUAGGUAAUCAUGGUGGUGCAAGGGGCAAGUGAUAUAAAUCUCAAGGGGCCUAGAAGUAAGAAGAAAAAGCUGGAUGAGUAUAAUAAUUGGAGGCCAUGACCGGACCUUCCUGAGCCUAUGCUUGAUCUUAUUACAAAGUCACUAGGGCCUAUAGACUAUCUCAUGUUUGGGUGUGUUUGUAGAACAUGGAGGUCGUAUGUUGCGACAUAUAAAAAAGGUUUUUUGGCAUCCCAACCUCCACUUGUUCUCUUCUUAUCAACACAUGCUAGGAGAGCUUGUUACUUCUUUAGUAUCUUUGAUCAAAAGUUAUACAAGGCAAUACUGCCCAACCUUAUUGGCAAAUCAUAUUUGGGGAUCACUUGUGGAUAUUUGGUCCUGAAGGACAAGGAAGAAAGGACAGAUUCUCAAAUUUGGCUUCUGAAUCCUUUUAAAAGACAUGAACUCCGUUUCCCUAGUCCUCCUAAAACUUAUUGUCACUUCAUCCUUGCUGCUUUAGCUACGCCUUUGCCAGAGUUUGUACUCAUAGCUUUUUGUAGAUGGCAACCAUAUUUCCAGUUUCGUAGAUCCAAAGAUGUCCAUUGGACUGUAUAUGAUUAUAAUGACAAAUUUAACGGCAGUCCUAGACACAAUCCUUGGAUGAUUAUUGAUGGAGCUGUCUUCAAGGACAAGGUAUAUGUUUUAACUAGUCAUGCUGAAAUUGGGAUACUAAAUCUGAAUUCUCAUCCUUAUGUGACUCUGCUGAAAGUAAAAGGCAUUGCAGAUUUGAAUUGUUGACUGCAGUUACGGUUACUGGCUUCUGAUGAACAGCGCCUGAUGAUUCGUGGAAUAAUUGAAUUUGACUAUCAUUCAGUUUAUGAGCUAAAUUUUUCAAAGAUGCAAUGGGUUCAGUGGCAGAGUUUAGGAGAUCAAGCAUUGUUUUUGGGUCAUAGAACGGGCCCAGGAUUGUACAACAUAACCAGAUGGAAAGGUCACCGACAAUGUGCUAAUUGCAUAUACAAAGUUGGUAGUGCAACUAACAAAUACGGCGUACAAUUCUUGUAUAUAAGAUAUCCCAAAUCUUUUCCAAUCAUGCAAGCAAAACGUAUGCCAGAUUUUAACCUAGGAAAUUACCCGUUCUGGUAUUUUCCACAUCUGUCUUGCAGUGUGGAUUCUUUGGUUGAUGACUAGUUGGGAUUUCUUCUUGUUCAUCUUCCCUAACCUCUAUUGAAGCAGUCAUUUGGACAAGACAUUGAAGUGUUUUAUACAUUUGUUUUUUAUUCCCUUAUUGAUGACUUUAGAACUCUUUUUGAUGGCUAAUCAUUGAAGAGAAUUACUUGCUAUGAGGUUUGCUUGAGUUUUCUGCUGCCCAUUUUUGCAGCUCUCAAAUGGUCCACUAGUGCAAACUGCACAACUAUUUUUGUGAUAAGAAAAUCCAACAAUGUUUUGUCUUCCA